CCAGACUCCUACGGGAGGCAGCAGUGGGGAAUAUUGCACAAUGGGGGAAGCCCUGAUGCAGCAACGCCGCGUGAAGGAAGACGGUUUUCGGAUUGUAAACUUCUGUUCUUAGUGAAGAAGAAUGACGGUAGCUAAGGAGCAAGCCACGGCUAACCACGUGCCAGCAGCCGCGGUAAUACGUAGGUGGCAAGCGUUGUCCGGAAUUACUGGGUGUAAAGGGAGCGCAGGCGGGAAGCCAAGUCAGCUGUGAAAACUACGGGCUUAACUUGUAGACUGCAGUUGAAACUGGUUUUCUUGAGUGAAGUAGAGGUUGGCGGAAUUCCGAGUGUAGCGGUGAAAUGCGUAGAUAUUCGGAGGAACACCGGUGGCGAAGGCGACUUUCUGGACUGUACCUGACGCUGAGGCGCGAAAGCGUGGGUAGCGAACGGGAUUAGAUACCCCGGUA
This 445-nucleotide ribosomal RNA is filed under the name uncultured bacterium. RNAcentral describes it as "bacterial SSU rRNA". It matches the Rfam family "Bacterial small subunit ribosomal RNA", at positions 331 to 792 of the family's 1533-position model. The record is from RNAcentral.